This is a long non-coding RNA of Oncorhynchus tshawytscha (Chinook salmon), 874 nucleotides long. NCBI's taxonomy places the organism in Eukaryota, Metazoa, Chordata, Actinopteri, Salmoniformes, Salmonidae. The record is from Ensembl.
AACAGUGCCACACCCCAAGGAAGUGGUACAAAGUUCCACGUCGUCAUCAGUCUGGGUACUUGUUCCCUUUUCCUGGUUCUGCUAGCUGGGUGUGUGCUGGGUGUUCUCCAACGCAAGUGUGGGGUUCAAGGCAGGCCUGUAAAUACUGGAAGCCCACCUGAACAGCAAGACCAAAACCCACCAUGUGUCUAUUCUGUCAUCACAAAGCCUUCUAGGGAUGAGGAAGAGGACACUAGUCUGCAAUACGCUACAGUGACAUAUACCGGUGACCAAGCUAGUCGUCAAUAUGCAACAGUGACAUCUACCGGUGGCAGGUUUAAAGAACUCUUAACCGUGAUCCAAUGAAUGUGCUGCUGGUGCCUUAUGUGUGAGUUAUGUAUUAUUAAUAAUAUCAUUAUUGUACUAUAUAAUAAAAUGUUAAAUAAUUGACUUUCAUAACAAUAUCCCUAGUUGUACUUUUGGUUGGAAUGACAAUGAACGACAUUUCUUGUCGUCUCUCUUGACCUACAGUUAACAGAUGCAGGAACAAGGAGAAACAGACAAACACUUGGAUUACCCAGAAGAAGCACCAGAUCUCAGUAAGCCUGAAGUUUGUGAAGGGGUUGAGCUGAGCAGUGAGUCCUCUGCCCUUGUAAAGUGUCAGCAGUGUUUGUUCUAUGUGGAUUCUAAACUCAAGGAGCUUGGUCGAUCAAAUGCCAGCCACAACCAAUGCUCCCUCCAAGUAAAGGGGUCAGAGCUGCCUGGGUGGAAGCCCAGAGGGCUGUGGUCAAAGGUCACCGUCCAGUGUCAUUAUGAAGAAGAGAAGAAGAAAAGGCAAUACCAUGACAUAAUUAUGUUUUUAUGUAGCUGCCUCACACUUUUCCUCCACUUUGCC